AGAGUUUGAUCAUGGCUCAGAUUGAACGCUGGCGGCAGGCUUAACACAUGCAAGUCGAGCGGAAACGAUAGUAGCUUGCUACUAGGCGUCGAGCGGCGGACGGGUGAGUAAUACUUAGGAAUCUGCCCAGUAGUGGGGGAUAGCUCGGGGAAACUCGAAUUAAUACCGCAUACACCCUACGGGGAAAAGGGGGCGCUUGCGCUCUCGCUAUUGGAUGAGCCUAAGUCGGAUUAGCUAGUUGGUGGGGUAAAGGCCUACCAAGGCGACGAUCUGUAGCUGGUCUGAGAGGAUGAUCAGCCACACCGGGACUGAGACACGGCCCGGACUCCUACGGGAGGCAGCAGUGGGGAAUAUUGGACAAUGGGGGCAACCCUGAUCCAGCCAUGCCGCGUGUGUGAAGAAGGCCUUUUGGUUGUAAAGCACUUUAAGCAGUGAAGAAGACCUUAUGGUUAAUACCCAUAAGCGAUGACAUUAGCUGCAGAAUAAGCACCGGCUAACUCUGUGCCAGCAGCCGCGGUAAUACAGAGGGUGCAAGCGUUAAUCGGAAUUACUGGGCGUAAAGCGAGCGUAGGUGGUUUAAUAAGUCAGAUGUGAAAUCCCCGGGCUUAACCUGGGAACUGCAUCUGAUACUGUUAGGCUAGAGUAGGUGAGAGGGAGGUAGAAUUUCAGGUGUAGCGGUGAAAUGCGUAGAGAUCUGAAGGAAUACCGAUGGCGAAGGCAGCCUCCUGGCAUCGUACUGACACUGAGGUUCGAAAGCGUGGGUAGCAAACAGGAUUAGAUACCCUGGUAGUCCACGCCGUAAACGAUGUCUACUAGUCGUUGGG
This 824-nucleotide ribosomal RNA is filed under the name uncultured bacterium. Its description in RNAcentral is "bacterial SSU rRNA". It matches the Rfam family "Bacterial small subunit ribosomal RNA", at positions 8 to 827 of the family's 1533-position model. The record is from RNAcentral.